UGGAGGAGUGGCCGAGUGGUUGAAGGCACCGGUCUUGAAAACCGGCGACGUGAAAGCGUUCUAGAGUUCGAAUCUCUACUCCUCCGUC
Molecule: transfer RNA, 88 nt
Filed under: Candidatus Gullanella endobia
Lineage: Bacteria; Pseudomonadati; Pseudomonadota; Gammaproteobacteria; Enterobacterales; Enterobacteriaceae
Description: tRNA-Ser
Rfam family: tRNA
About the family: Transfer RNA (tRNA) molecules are approximately 80 nucleotides in length. Their secondary structure includes four short double-helical elements and three loops (D, anti-codon, and T loops). Further hydrogen bonds mediate the characteristic L-shaped molecular structure. tRNAs have two regions of fundamental functional importance: the anti-codon, which is responsible for specific mRNA codon recognition, and the 3' end, to which the tRNAs corresponding amino acid is attached (by aminoacyl-tRNA synthetases). tRNAs cope with the degeneracy of the genetic code in two manners: having more than one tRNA (with a specific anti-codon) for a particular amino acid; and 'wobble' base-pairing, i.e. permitting non-standard base-pairing at the 3rd anti-codon position.
Source: RNAcentral